GAGACUUAGGUUAACUAAAACCAAGGGCCUUCAAAGCCCUAAACAAGAGUGAAAAUCUCUUAGUCUCUGA
This 70-nucleotide transfer RNA is filed under the name Scriptaphyosemion guignardi. RNAcentral describes it as "tRNA-Trp". It matches the Rfam family "tRNA". From Rfam's summary of the family: Transfer RNA (tRNA) molecules are approximately 80 nucleotides in length. Lineage: Eukaryota; Metazoa; Chordata; Actinopteri; Cyprinodontiformes; Nothobranchiidae. The record is from RNAcentral.